Molecule: ribosomal RNA, 448 nt
Filed under: uncultured organism
Description: partial 16S ribosomal RNA
Rfam family: Bacterial small subunit ribosomal RNA
Source: RNAcentral
ACUCCUGCGGGAGGCAGCAGUGGGGAAUAUUGGACAAUGGGCGCAAGCCUGAUCCAGCCAUGCCGCGUGAGUGAUGAAGGCCCUAGGGUUGUAAAGCUCUUUCACCGGUGAAGAUAAUGACGGUAACCGGAGAAGAAGCCCCGGCUAACUUCGUGCCAGCAGCCGCGGUAAUACGAAGGGGGCUAGCGUUGUUCGGAUUUACUGGGCGUAAAGCGCACGUAGGCGGACUAUUAAGUCAGGGGUGAAAUCCCGGGGCUCAACCCCGGAACUGCCUUUGAUACUGGUAGUCUUGAGUUCGAGAGAGGUGAGUGGAAUUCCGAGUGCAGAGGUGAAAUUCGUAGAUAUUCGGAGGAACACCAGUGGCGAAGGCGGCUCACUGGCUCGAUACUGACGCUGAGGUGCGAAAGCGUGGGGAGCAAACAGGAUUAGAAACCCCAGUAGUCCCAUG